ACUUGGGGCCACGCCCCUGGCGGGAGCCUACAAAUUCCAGCUUAGAGCCGGGCGAGGAGCUACCUGUUGGGGUAGGGUCUCGCGUGAGCGCGAGCUAACGCGGGCGGGCGGCCGCCUGGGACGACCCUGUGUGCCAGCUGCAGUCCGCUCCCCUCACCAGCACCGGCCCCGCCAGUUCCCUGGGCGGUGUCCGCUGGGAGGUCUCCGGCGGGAACCGUCACUCCGCCCAAGAUGCCUCGUGCCAGAACGCGGCGGUGGGGACCUGGAGAGCGCGAGACUCGUCCUGGAGAAGCGCGAGACUCGUCCUGGAGAGCGCGAGACUCGUCCUGGAGAAGCGCGAGACUCGUCCUGGGGAGCGGGAGACUCGUCCUGGGCCAAUGCUGCUCUCACAGGCGCAGGAGAAGCCAGGAGCUACUUCCAGCCACUUAAAUCCUGUGCUCGCCUUUAUUUUGUCCCUCACAGUGGAGAGAUAAACAAGCAGAAAUCUACUAGCAAGCCAGCUGUCUACCCCUAGUGAAAAACACAAACGAACUGUGAUACACUCACGAAAUGGAAUUUUACCUGCAUGAAAAAUCCUCAGAUCACAGCUGCAAGCAACAAUCCGGACAAAAGGAGGAAAAGCAAGUAACUGCAGAGGAGAAACCUGGGGGUCAGUGUGAGUACCGGCGGCGGUGAGUCACAGUGGCAGCAUGGCCCUUGAUGUGGGUGACGAGGAUGGCCCUUCACCCAGGAGGUCUUCCUCCCCAACGGGCACCCUCACUCCAACCGUGAGAAACGCACCAGACCGACCCAAACUGACCUGUGCUCUACAGAACACCAGACCAAUACACCCCAAAGUCGUCAAGAUCAUCAAAAACAAGGUGUAUUGGAGGCCUCAGUGUCCAUGGACCACCCCACUGCUGCCUGGGUUCAGGCUGUGCAGCAUGGAUUUGGAAAGGACCUGGAUGAAGAUUUUGGCCAACUCAGUGUGAUUGUUCCGGGUGACCAGCCCUCCCGACUGACCCCUGAGUCAUCAGCCUUCACUCACACAGAUGCAGAAGCUGGCAGACGCUCUGACUUCCCCUCUAAGGCUGCCCACUCAGUGCUGCUCACGAUGAUGGCUGUCUCGCUUAGCUCCUGGCUUGUGUCUUGGGAGUGGAAUUUAGUCUGUUAUCUGAAUUACAAUUACAAGGAAAAAAACAUGCAAAUAGAUGUGUAACAUAAAGUGAGGGGUUAUUUUUGAAAGUCACCCAGCUAGCUUCUACGGUCAGGUCAUUGAUGAGAAACCAUACACUUGUUUGUGAAAGAUUGUUCCAGAAGCAUUGGAAAUCCGAGUAGGAAUAAAUCAGAUUAAUUUUCAAAAUUCACAGAGAUAAACUUUUCAUUAUGAAAUCGUGAAUGUUCUCUUCUAUUUAAAUUCAGAUGUGGUUAGCUCCUUUUAGAUAUGUUACAAUAAUAAAUAGUAGAC
This is a long non-coding RNA of Bubalus bubalis (water buffalo), 1447 nucleotides long. RefSeq lists it as uncharacterized. The record is from RefSeq and is a predicted model, not a curated record. NCBI's taxonomy places the organism in Eukaryota, Metazoa, Chordata, Mammalia, Artiodactyla, Bovidae. The transcript is spliced from 6 exons.